AACUAAUACUUUUUCCAUCACUGUUGAUUUGUAAAUUAUUCUUUCCAAAUAAAUGCUAAACUAGACAAUGUGCUGUUCAGAAAACACGUCAUUGAAGUUUAUGUUUCUUACAGAUUACCAGGAAAAGUUUGCAGCUCUGCAAAUCAAGAGUUUAAACACAAACCCCUCAGAAGCUCCUACACGUCACUAACCAAAGAGAGUAACCAAAAAGAAAGUUUCCUGAGAGAUAUGAUCCAUCAUUACUCAAAAGACUUGUAUUUCCCAUGUUACAGACUGCUGGAAAAAAAGUACUUUUACUGGAAAGAUGACCUGAAGAUUAUGUACAAUCUGAAGGUCAGUAACCUUAUUUAUUAUUAACCUGCAAUGGACAAAUCUGAUUUCGAGAACUGAGUUACAUGAUCUUACUAUGAUUAUUGUUGUGAUUUAUAUUUUAGCAUUUUUAACAAUGAAAAUCUUGAUCUAAACUGGAUUUUAUAAACAAA
RNAcentral lists this long non-coding RNA (482 nucleotides) under Anas platyrhynchos platyrhynchos (common mallard). RNAcentral describes it as "lncRNA (ENSAPLG00000030454.1)". Lineage: Eukaryota; Metazoa; Chordata; Aves; Anseriformes; Anatidae. The record is from RNAcentral.